UACGUAGGGUGCAAGCGUUAAUCGGAAUUACUGGGCGUAAAGCGUGCGCAGGCGGUUAUAUAAGACAGAUGUGAAAUCCCCGGGCUCAACCUGGGAACUGCAUUUGUGACUGUAUAGCUAGAGUACGGCAGAGGGGGAUGGAAUUCCGCGUGUAGCAGUGAAAUGCGCAGAUAUGCGGAGGAACACCGAUGGCGAAGGCAAUCCCCUGGGCCUGUACUGACGCUCAUGCACGAAAGCGUGGGGAGCAAACAGG
RNAcentral lists this ribosomal RNA (253 nucleotides) under uncultured bacterium. Its description in RNAcentral is "partial 16S ribosomal RNA". It matches the Rfam family "Bacterial small subunit ribosomal RNA", at positions 524 to 776 of the family's 1533-position model. The record is from RNAcentral.